RNAcentral lists this ribosomal RNA (491 nucleotides) under uncultured bacterium. Its description in RNAcentral is "partial 16S ribosomal RNA". It matches the Rfam family "Bacterial small subunit ribosomal RNA", at positions 29 to 506 of the family's 1533-position model. The record is from RNAcentral.
AGUGAACGCUGGCGGUAGGCCUAACACAUGCAAGUCGAACGGCAGCACAGUAAGAGCUUGCUCUUACGGGUGGCGAGUGGCGGACGGGUGAGGAAUACAUCGGAAUCUACUUUUUCGUGGGUGAUAACGUAGGGAAACUUACGCUAAUACCGCAUACGACCUACGGGUGAAAGCAGGGGAUCUUCGGACCUUGCGCGAUUGAAUUAGCCGAUGUCGGAUUAGCUAGUUGGCGGGGUAAAGGCCCACCAAGGCGACGAUCCGUAGCUGGUCUGAGAGGAUGAUCACCCAAACUGGAACUGAGACACGGUCCAGACUCCUAGGGGAGGCAGCAGUGGGGAAUAUUGGAAAAUGGGCGCAAGCCUGAUCCAGCCAUACGGGGUGGGUGAAGAAGGCCUUCGGGUUGUAAAGCCCUUUUGUUGGGAAAGAAAAGCAGCAGGUUAAUACCCCGCUGUUCUGACGGUACCCAAAGAAUAAGCACCGGCUAACUUCGU